ACGCGUAACGUAACNCGACGUAUACGGGGGAUAACACUUAGAAAUAGGUGCUAAUACCGCAUAAGCGCACAGCUUCGCAUGAAGCGGUGUGAAAAACUCUGGUGGUAUACGAUGGUUCCGCGUCUGAUUAGCUAGUUGGUGGGGUAAUGGCCUACCAAGGCAACGAUCAGUAGCCGGCCUGAGAGGGUGAACGGCCACAUUGGGACUGAGACACGGCCCAAACUCCUACGGGAGGCAGCAG
This 241-nucleotide ribosomal RNA is filed under the name uncultured bacterium. Its description in RNAcentral is "partial 16S ribosomal RNA". It matches the Rfam family "Bacterial small subunit ribosomal RNA", at positions 115 to 354 of the family's 1533-position model. The record is from RNAcentral.